AUGCAUGUUGUACCCACGCUCAGUUGUGCGCCACACGCCGGAUCCUGUGCUGCUGUUUUCACUAUUUCUCCAUUUCUUUUUAUCAUUCUGUCUUUCUAUCUCUCUCUCUCGCUCUCUCACUCUCAAAGGCUUAUGAUGUUCUGUGGUCACGUACUUAUCGGGCCAACCGCACCAGCAGGCUCACACACUCCAACACAGGCAGGUCGGCACGUACGCGCCCGUCUUUUAACACGUACCACACAGCACCCAACUACCUGCUUCCAGCCACUCACACAUAUACACACAUGUUUGCAACCUAGCUUGUACUUUAAACACUCAGCUCAGAAUACAACCGUGAGAAAACUGCAUUCUCAGCUCACAUUUGUAUUUAGAGAUUAGCAAGAGAUUACAUUUAACAAUGUAGUGUUUUUAAAGAUGAACUUGAAAUUAGUGUUAAAUGAUGGCAAAGGUAAUCUUACUGUAAAAACCGAGGAAAUUAGCAUGUACAACUAAACAUAUCAAAUGAAACUUAUAUAUAACCAAUAUGAUACCAAUGUAUCAUGCAUCCCUAGUUUUUACUUUAUUGCAAGGCUUGGUUGUUGAUAUAAAUGUUAUAACAAAGAUGUUUUUCCAGGAACACAUGAAAUCGCUGUGAUUGUCCAGCUGAUCAGCAGGGCAGGAAAUCAGAAGUAGAGUGGAUAUAGCCUGUUCACACAGUAACAGAAUACAGUUGUCAGUCCUUUUUUAGAUUCCUGAAUAUAGUUAUGUUAAGGCAUUGUUUGGAUAUUAGCACGACUGAUCAUAUUUUAUAACUAAGUCUUUUUUAGAACACAAAUUGCAAUUACAGUAAACCUGUGAAGUGUGAAACUGUCACACCAUACAAUGUGAGUCACUGUAUACUGCUCAUGUGCAUUGCUGUGUGUUGUGAUUUUCAUGUGGGGUUCCAGUAACUUGCAGAGAUGGAGAUAUGAACUUUGGUUUUGUGGUCAGGGCAUGACCCGGAUUUGACACUUAAGUAAAA
Molecule: long non-coding RNA, 1000 nt
Organism: Cyprinus carpio carpio
Lineage: Eukaryota; Metazoa; Chordata; Actinopteri; Cypriniformes; Cyprinidae
Source: Ensembl